GACGAACGCUGGCGGCGUGCUUAACACAUGCAAGUCGAACGGAAAGGCCCUGCUUUUGUGGGGUGCUCGAGUGGCGAACGGGUGAGUAGCACGUGAGUAACCUGCCCUUGACUUUGGGAUAACUUCAGGAAACUGGGGCUAAUACCGGAUAGGAGCUCCUGCUGCAUGGUGGGGGUUGGAAAGUUUCGGCGGUUGGGGAUGGACUCGCGGCUUAUCAGCUUGUUGGUGGGGUAGUGGCUUACCAGGGCUUUGACGGGUAGCCGGCCUGAGAGGGUGACCGGCCACAUUGGGACUGAGAUACGGCCCAGACUCCUACGGGAGGCAGCAGUGGGGAAUAUUGCACAAUGGGCGGAAGCCUGAUGCAGCAACGCCGCGUGCGGGAUGACGGCCUUCGGGUUGUAAACCGCUUUCGCCUGUGACGAAGCGUGAGUGACGGUAAUGGGUAAAGAAGCACCGGCUAACUACGUGCCAGCAGCCGCGGUGAUACGUAGGGUGCGAGCGUUGUCCGGAUUUAUUGGGCGUAAAGGGCUCGUAGGUGGUUGAUCGCGUCGGAAGUGUAAUCUUGGGGCUUAACCCUGAGCGUGCUUUCGAUACGGGUUGACUUGAGGAAGGUAGGGGAGAAUGGAAUUCCUGGUGGAGCGGUGGAAUGCGCAGAUAUCAGGAGGAACACCAGUGGCGAAGGCGGUUCUCUGGGCCUUUCCUGACGCUGAGGAGCGAAAGCGUGGGGAGCGAACAGGCUUAGAUACCCUGGUAGUCCACGCUGUAAACGGUGGGUACUAGGUGUGGGGUCCAUUCCACGGGUUCCGUGCCGUAGCUAACGCUUUAAGUACCCCGCCUGGGGAGUACGGCCGCAAGGCUAAAACUCAAAGGAAUUGACGGGGCCCCGCACAAGCGGCGGAGCAUGCGGAUUAAUUCGAUGCAACGCGUAGAACCUUACCUGGGUUUGACAUGGAUCGGGAGCGCUCAGAGAUGGGUGUGCCUCUUUUGGGGUCGGUUCACAGGUGGUGCAUGGCUGUCGUCAGCUCGUGUCGUGAGAUGUUGGGUUAAGUCCCGCAACGAGCGCAACCCUUGUUCACUGUUGCCAGCACGUUAUGGUGGGGACUCAGUGGAGACCGCCGGGGUCAACUCGGAGGAAGGUGGGGAUGACGUCAAGUCAUCAUGCCCCUUAUGUCCAGGGCUUCACGCAUGCUACAAUGGCUGGUACAGAGAGUGGCGAGCCUGUGAGGGUGAGCGAAUCUCGGAAAGCCGGUCUCAGUUCGGAUUGGGGUCUGCAACUCGACCUCAUGAAGUCGGAGUCGCUAGUAAUCGCAGAUCAGCAACGCUGCGGUGAAUACGUUCCCGGGGCU
This 1346-nucleotide ribosomal RNA is filed under the name uncultured bacterium. RNAcentral describes it as "bacterial SSU rRNA". It matches the Rfam family "Bacterial small subunit ribosomal RNA", at positions 28 to 1381 of the family's 1533-position model. The record is from RNAcentral.